GUGAUGGUGUAGAGAUGACAGGAGCAGGUUAAAGCCUGAUAUAGACAGUGAUGGUGUAGAGAUAACAGGUUAAAGCCUGAUAUAGACAGUGAUGGUGUAGAGAUGACAGGAGCAGGUUAAAGCCUGAUAUAGACAGUGAUGGUGUAGAGAUGACAGGAGCAGGUUAAAGCCUGAUAUAGACAGUGAUGGUGUAGAGAUGACAGGUUAAUAGCCUGAUAUAGACAGUGAUGGUGUAGAGAUGACAGGUUAAAGCCUGAUAUAGACAGUGAUGGUGUAGAGAUGACAGGUUAAUAGCCUGAUAUAGACAGUGAUGGUGUAGAGAUAACA
This is a long non-coding RNA of Oncorhynchus keta (chum salmon), 327 nucleotides long. RefSeq lists it as uncharacterized. Lineage: Eukaryota; Metazoa; Chordata; Actinopteri; Salmoniformes; Salmonidae. The record is from RefSeq and is a predicted model, not a curated record. The transcript has 3 exons.